GCGUAAAUAGUCUAGUGGUAGAAUGCGGCCCUUCCAAGGCUGAGGUCCGGGUUCGAUUCCCGGUUUACGCA
Molecule: non-coding RNA, 71 nt
Organism: Hamiltosporidium tvaerminnensis
Lineage: Eukaryota; Fungi; Microsporidia; Dubosqiidae
Source: the annotation of a GenBank genome assembly